AGGAGAUCUUUUUUUAAUUUAAUUUAUUAAAUUUUACUUUUUAGUAAAAAGGCUAAAAUAAUUCUUUUAGACAAGAAGACCCUAUAAAACUUUAUAUAAUUGAAAUGUAAAAAUUUUAUUUAUAUUAUACUGGGGCGGUAGAAAUAAAACAUUUUCUUUUAGGAAAAACUUAAUAGUUUAAAUAACCAAAAAUUUUGAAAUAAAAAUAAGUUACUUUAGGGAUAACAGCGUAAUCUAUUUUAAAAGUUCUCAUUGACAAAUAGGUUUGCGACCUCGAUGUUGGAUUAAAAAUUCUGGUUUGUGUAUAAGCAAGCAGUAGAAAGUCUGUUCGACUCUUAAAAUUUUCCA
RNAcentral lists this ribosomal RNA (348 nucleotides) under Uroplectes gracilior. RNAcentral describes it as "partial large subunit ribosomal RNA". The stretch from base 39 to 348 matches the Rfam family "Bacterial large subunit ribosomal RNA", at positions 2048 to 2600 of the family's 2925-position model. The record is from RNAcentral. Lineage: Eukaryota; Metazoa; Arthropoda; Arachnida; Scorpiones; Buthidae.